RNAcentral lists this ribosomal RNA (253 nucleotides) under uncultured bacterium. RNAcentral describes it as "partial 16S ribosomal RNA". It matches the Rfam family "Bacterial small subunit ribosomal RNA", at positions 524 to 776 of the family's 1533-position model. The record is from RNAcentral.
UACGGGGGGGGUAAGCGUUGUUCGGAAUUACUGGGCGUAAAGGGCUCGUAGGCGGCCAACUAAGUCAUACGUGAAAUCCCUCAGCUUAACUGGGGAACUGCGUGUGAUACUGGAUGGCUUGGACUUGGGAGAGGGAUGCGGAAUUCCAGGUGUAGCGGUGAAAUGCGUAGAUAUCUGGAGGAACACCGGUGGCGAAGGCGGCAUCCUGGACCAAUAUUGACGCUGAGGAGCGAAAGCUAGGGGAGCAAACGGG